CCUACGGGGGGCUGCAGUAGGGAAUAUUGCUCAAUGGGGGAAACCCUGAAGCAGCAACGCCGCGUGGAGGAUGAAGGUUUUCGGAUUGUAAACUCCUUUUGUUAGAGAAGAUAAUGACGGUAUCUACGGAAUAAGAACGGGCUAACUCCGUGCCAGCAGCCGCGGUAAUACGGGGGGUGCAGGCGUUACUCGGAAUCACUGGGCGUAAAGGGCGCGUAGGCGGGAUAGCAAGUCAGAUGUGAAAUCCUAUGGCUUAACCAUAGAACUGCAUUUGAAACUGUUAUUCUAGAGUAUGGGAGAGGUAGGUGGAAUGCUUGGUGUAGGGGUAAAAUCCGUAGAGAUCAAGAGGAAUACUCAUUGCGAAGGCGACCUGCUAGAACAUAACUGACGCUGAUGCGCGAAAGCGUGGGGAGCAAACAGGAUUAGAUACCCUUGUAGUC
Molecule: ribosomal RNA, 440 nt
Filed under: uncultured bacterium
Lineage: Bacteria
Description: partial 16S ribosomal RNA
Rfam family: Bacterial small subunit ribosomal RNA
Source: RNAcentral